Molecule: ribosomal RNA, 447 nt
Filed under: uncultured bacterium
Lineage: Bacteria
Description: partial 16S ribosomal RNA
Rfam family: Bacterial small subunit ribosomal RNA
Source: RNAcentral
AACGAACGCUGGCGGCAGGCCUAAAACAUGCAAGUCGAACGCCCCGCAAGGGGAGUGGCGCACGGGUGAGUAACGCGUGGGAACGUGCCCCUUAGUACGGGACAACGUCGGGAAACUGACGCCAAUACCGUAUAAUAUCUCCGGAUCAAAGAUUUAUCGCUGAGGGAGCGGCCCGCGUCUGAUUAGCUAGUUGGUGAGGUAAAGGCUCACCAAGGCUACGAUCAGUAGCAGGUCUGAGAGGAUGAUCUGCCACACUGGGACUGAGACACGGCCCAGACUCCUACGGGAGGCAGCAGUUAGGAAUAUUGGACAAUGGGGGAAACCCUGAUCCAGCCAUGCCGCGUGUGUGAUGAAGGCCCUAGGGUUGUAAAGCACUUUCGUUGGGGAUGAUAAUGACCGUACCCAAAGAAGAAGCCACGGCUAAAUUCGUGCCAGCAGCCGCCGUAA